Molecule: ribosomal RNA, 455 nt
Filed under: uncultured bacterium
Lineage: Bacteria
Description: bacterial SSU rRNA
Rfam family: Bacterial small subunit ribosomal RNA
Source: RNAcentral
ACUCCUACGGGAGGCAGCAGUAGGGAAUCUUCCACAAUGGGCGCAAGCCUGAUGGAGCAACACCGCGUGAGUGAAGAAGGGUUUCGGCUCGUAAAGCUCUGUUGUUAAAGAAGAACACGUAUGAGAGUAACUGUUCAUACGUUGACGGUAUUUAACCAGAAAGUCACGGCUAACUACGUGCCAGCAGCCGCGGUAAUACGUAGGUGGCAAGCGUUAUCCGGAUUUAUUGGGCGUAAAGAGAGUGCAGGCGGUUUUCUAAGUCUGAUGUGAAAGCCUUCGGCUUAACCGGAGAAGUGCAUCGGAAACUGGAUAACUUGAGUGCAGAAGAGGUAGUGGAACUCCAUGUGUAGCGGUGGAAUGCGUAGAUAUAUGGAAGAACACCAGUGGCGAAGGCGGCUACCUGGUCUGCAACUGACGCUGAGACUCGAAAGCAUGGGUAGCGAACAGGAUUAGAU